This 691-nucleotide ribosomal RNA is filed under the name uncultured Lachnospiraceae bacterium. RNAcentral's name for it is "bacterial SSU rRNA". It matches the Rfam family "Bacterial small subunit ribosomal RNA", at positions 64 to 771 of the family's 1533-position model. The record is from RNAcentral. Lineage: Bacteria; Bacillati; Bacillota; Clostridia; Lachnospirales; Lachnospiraceae.
GAUUGAUUCUUCGGAUGAUUCUCUUGCGACUUAGUGGCGGACGGGUGAGUAACGCGUGGGUAACCUGCCUCACACAGGGGGAUAACAGUUGGAAACGACCGCUAAUACCGCAUAACCCGCUAGGGCCGCAUGGCCCGGACGGAAAAGAUUUAUCGGUGUGAGAUGGACCCGCGUUGGAUUAGCUAGUUGGCAGGGUAACGGCCUACCAAGGCGACGAUCCAUAGCCGGCCUGAGAGGGUGAACGGCCACAUUGGGACUGAGACACGGCCCAAACUCCUACGGGAGGCAGCAGUGGGGAAUAUUGCACAAUGGGGGAAACCCUGAUGCAGCGACGCCGCGUGAGUGAAGAAGUAUUUCGGUAUGUAAAGCUCUAUCAGCAGGGAAGAAAAUGACGGUACCUGACUAAGAAGCCCCGGCUAACUACGUGCCAGCAGCCGCGGUAAUACGUAGGGGGCAAGCGUUAUCCGGAUUUACUGGGUGUAAAGGGAGCGUAGACGGCUAAGCAAGUCAGAAGUGAAAGGCUGGGGCUCAACCCCGGGACUGCUUUUGAAACUGUUUGGCUAGAGUGCUGGAGAGGUAAGCGGAAUUCCUAGUGUAGCGGUGAAAUGCGUAGAUAUUAGGAGGAACACCAGUGGCGAAGGCGGCUUACUGGACAGUAACUGACGUUGAGGCUCGAAAGCGUGGGGAGCAA